AAACCAUAGACUCACACCCAGCUCUUUGGAAAUGGUAAUGGAGUUGAUAGCACACCCUCAUGGAAAAAAGGAAGACUCCAUUUGCUUACUCUCAACUCCCAGCCUUGCCUGCCAGCUCAGGGAUUUCUAGUACGGCUGAAUCUGGACAAUGUUUACAGGAUGUGGCAUUUCUAAUUAAUGAUUAUGUUUAGAUAAAUAAAGUUUGUGAGGGGCUGGAGAGAUGGCUUAGUGGUUAAGAGCACUAAAUUCUGUUCCUUUAUAGGCCAUUUAAGAACUCAAACUGGAUUGCCUGGACUCCUUAGCAAGGGAGGGCAAUGAUACCAGGCAGAUUAUAGGCCUUACAUAGGAACAAUUAGUAAAAAAAUCUCAUUCUUUAUAUAUCCAAAACAAUAAUGCUGGAGACAAUAAUUUGGUAUACAAGUCAAUUUAUAAAUACAAGUGCUCAGUGUCCUCAAUUUAAUCCUCGAGGACUUAUCUUAAUAAAUAAUAUUGUAACAAUAUCCUAAUAAAUAAAAAGGGGGAGUUAUCCCUGUAUGCUAAAUAAUGCUCUUUUUAUUUCAAUUUUAAAAUUUGGAUGCCAAGGAAUACUCUGAGUGUUGAUGGCACCCUACAACUAGGCAUACUUCUGCCUUGGUGAAAUAGAAAGAUUCACGAUCCUGUUUAGAUAUAUUAUAUGGGGAAGAGGGAAUGUUUGUGUUUUUCCUACAGGAUGCUGCAGGAGUAUGCCAGCUGCCAGAGGUGGUUGGUGAGACUUGCUGAUCCUGGGAGCAUGAAGAUUCCACUCUCGUGGUUCGGGUCCCUGGAGUCAUUCCUGUGCCCUUGGAGGAAGAUAGAGGAUUCCCCCUCAUCUUUUGUCAUUUUGGCAUUGCUGCAGUCUUUGUUACCGCCACUGUGUGUCCCAUCCCACCGCGGCCUGCGCCCCAACCCUCUGUGCACUGCUACUUGCCAGAGAAGACUGGACUCCAGCAGUUACCCCUGCCCUGACUGGUGUUGUCAUUUUGCAGUCUGUAGCUUCACAGGAAUGCCAUGUGCAUGAAGCUGCUGUGGACUGGGUAACUCUGCCCUGGUUGUGCGGAUCUCAGACAUGGUUCCAUUGCCUGCCGAUUGUUCCAGAGAAGAAUGGCUGAUCCUGAACUGUC
RNAcentral lists this long non-coding RNA (1139 nucleotides) under Rattus norvegicus (Norway rat). RNAcentral's name for it is "long non-coding RNA NONRATT021741". The record is from RNAcentral. Lineage: Eukaryota; Metazoa; Chordata; Mammalia; Rodentia; Muridae.